GUAUUCACUCUAGCCCUUGGCUUGUUCCCCAAGAUAGCUGAGCCGAGACUGCUACUGAUAUCCCGACCGUAUGCCACAAAUAAGCAAAUUCUUGCAGUUCCAUGAGAUUUUCUCGACCUUAUCACAUCCAUGAGAUUUUCUCGACCUCAUCACAUCUGCAUCUUGCAAUUCAUUAGGAAUGUUAUUUAGGAAAGUAAUGCAUUAACGAGAGCAUCGAAUUAUAUAACGACAUCAAGCAGUAUAUAUGUCAAAAAUCUUAGGGUGGUGCUAAAUUUUUCCUAGAUCUUUUGUGAGGUCUUGCACAUUACACUUUAUCUUUCAAAGCUGCUGCAAAUGACUGCGCUAAACCUGUGUUCUUCUGCUAAUUGUUUCCUGUA
Molecule: long non-coding RNA, 377 nt
Filed under: Eucalyptus grandis
Lineage: Eukaryota; Viridiplantae; Streptophyta; Magnoliopsida; Myrtales; Myrtaceae
Description: long non-coding RNA (EGRA_LNC004013)
Source: RNAcentral